GCGCGAAAACUUUACAAUGCGAGCAAUCGUGAUAAGGAAACCCUGAGUGCCUGUCAAUGCGGGCUGUUCUGGUGUCUAACACACACCAGGAGAAAGGGCGGGGCAAGACCGGCGCCAGCCGCCGCGGUAAUACCGGCUGCUCGAGUGAUAGCCACUUUUACUGGGCUUAAAGCGUUCGUAGCUUGGUCGUUAAGUCUCUGGGGAAAUCUUUUGGCUCAACCAAAAGGCGUCUCAGGGAAACUGACGAUCUUGGAACCGGGAGAGGUAAGACGUACUUCGGGGGUAGGAGUGAAAUCUUGUAAUCCCCGAGGGACGACCGAUGGCGAAGGCAUCUUACCAGAGCGGCUUCGACAGUGAGGGACGAAAGCUGGGGGAGCAAACCGGAUUAGAUACCCGGGUAGUCCCAGCCGUAAACGAUGUGCGUUAGGUGUGUCAGUGACCACGAGUCGCUGAGGUGCCGAAGGGAAACCGUGAAACGCACCGCCUGGGAAGUACGGUCGCAAGGCUGAAACU
This 513-nucleotide ribosomal RNA is filed under the name uncultured Methanocalculus sp. Its description in RNAcentral is "bacterial SSU rRNA". It matches the Rfam family "Archaeal small subunit ribosomal RNA", at positions 339 to 856 of the family's 1478-position model. Lineage: Archaea; Methanobacteriati; Methanobacteriota; Methanomicrobia; Methanomicrobiales; Methanocalculaceae. The record is from RNAcentral.